CAAUUGGCCUUUAAUUGGGGUCGGGCAUGAAAGGAUAAAUCGAAGUAUUACUGUCUCAAUAAAAUAUAUACUAAUGAAAUUACUUAUUGGGUGAAAAUUCCCAAACAAUAGAUAAUAGACGAGAAGACCCUUAGACUUUCUCCUAGUUAUAUUAAAUUUAUAUGAAGGCUUUGUUGGGGCGACAAAAUGUCAACAUAUAAUUAACACAUUCAUUAAUUUUUCGUAAUUUAACAAGUUUUAUUUCUAAUAAUAGAAGUACCUAAGGGAUAACAGCAUUAUUAAAUUAUUACAUUG
RNAcentral lists this ribosomal RNA (294 nucleotides) under Clessinia stelzneri. RNAcentral describes it as "partial 16S ribosomal RNA". The record is from RNAcentral. Lineage: Eukaryota; Metazoa; Mollusca; Gastropoda; Stylommatophora; Odontostomidae.